GAUGAACGCUAGCUACAGGCUUAACACAUGCAAGUCGAGGGGUAACGAGAGGAAAGCUUGCUUUCCUUGUCGACGACCGGCGCACGGGUGAGUAACGCGUAUCCAACCUGCCCCCAACUAGGGAAUAACCUUGCGAAAGUAAGACUAAUACCCUAUAAUUUCCUCAGAUGUCAUCUGACGAGGAAUAAAGAUUGAUGGGUUGCGGAUGGGGAUGCGUCUGAUUAGCUUGUUGGCGGGGUAACGUCCCACCAAGGCAACGAUCAGUAGGGGUUCUGAGAGGAAGGUCCCCCACAUUGGAACUGAGACACGGUCCAAACUCCUACGGGAGGCAGCAGUGAGGAAUAUUGGUCAAUGGGCGGAAGCCUGAACUAGCCAAGUAGCGUGCAGGAUGACGGCCCUAUGGGUUGUAAACUGCUUUUAUACAGGAAUAAAGUUAGCCACGUGUGGUUAUUUGUAGGUACUGUAUGAAUAAGGACCGGCUAAUUCCGUGCCAGCCGCCGCCGUAA
RNAcentral lists this ribosomal RNA (506 nucleotides) under uncultured bacterium. Its description in RNAcentral is "partial 16S ribosomal RNA". It matches the Rfam family "Bacterial small subunit ribosomal RNA", at positions 28 to 523 of the family's 1533-position model. The record is from RNAcentral.